GACAGAGGGUGCGAACGUUGUUCGGAAUCAUUGGGCGUAAAGGGCGCGUAGGCGGCCGCCUAAGUCAGACGUGAAAUCCCUCGGCUCAACCGGGGAACUGCGUCUGAUACUGGGUGGCUUGAAUCCGGGAGAGGGAUGCGGAAUUCCAGGUGUAGCGGUGAAAUGCGUAGAUAUCUGGAGGAACACCGGUGGCGAAGGCGGCAUCCUGGACCGGCAUUGACGCUGAGGCGCGAAAGCCAGGGGAGCAAACGGG
Molecule: ribosomal RNA, 253 nt
Filed under: uncultured bacterium
Lineage: Bacteria
Description: partial 16S ribosomal RNA
Rfam family: Bacterial small subunit ribosomal RNA
Source: RNAcentral